CAGGCAAAUCCGGAAAAUCAAGGCUGAGGCGUGAUGACGAGGCACUACGGUGCUGAAGCAACAAAUGCCCUGCUUCCAGGAAAAGCCUCUAAGCAUCAGGUAACAUCAAAUCGUACCCCAAACCGACACAGGUGGUCAGGUAGAGAAUACCAAGGCGCUUGAGAGAACUCGGGUGAAGGAACUAGGCAAAAUGGUGCCGUAACUUCGGGAGAAGGCACGCUGAUAUGUAGGUGAAGCGACUUGCUCGUGGAGCUGAAAUCAGUCGAAGAUACCAGCUGGCUGCAACUGUUUAUUAAAAACACAGCACUGUGCAAACACGAAAGUGGACGUAUACGGUGUGACGCCUGCCCGGUGCCGGAAGGUUAAUUGAUGGGGUUAGCGGUAACGCGAAGCUCUUGAUCGAAGCCCCGGUAAACGGCGGCCGUAACUAUAACGGUCCUAAGGUAGCGAAAUUCCUUGUCGGGUAAGUUCCGACCUGCACGAAUGGCGUAAUGAUGGCCAGGCUGUCUCCACCCGAGACUCAGUGAAAUUGAACUCGCUGUGAAGAUGCAGUGUACCCGCGGCAAGACGGAAAGACCCCGUGAACCUUUACUAUAGCUUGACACUGAACAUUGAGCCUUGAUGUGUAGGAUAGGUGGGAGGCUUUGAAGUGUGGACGCCAGUCUGCAUGGAGCCGACCUUGAAAUACCACCCUUUAAUGUUUGAUGUUCUAACGUUGGCCCGUUAUCCGGGUUGCGGACAGUGUCUGGUGGGUAGUUUGACUGGGGCGGUCUCCUCCUAAAGAGUAACGGAGGAGCACGAAGGUUGGCUAAUCCUGGUCGGACAUCAGGAGGUUAGUGCAAUGGCAUAAGCCAGCUUGACUGCGAGCGUGACGGCGCGAGCAGGUGCGAAAGCAGGUCAUAGUGAUCCGGUGGUUCUGAAUGGAAGGGCCAUCGCUCAACGGAUAAAAGGUACUCCGGGGAUAACAGGCUGAUACCGCCCAAGAGUUCAUAUCGACGGCGGUGUUUGGCACCUCGAUGUCGGCUCAUCACAUCCUGGGGCUGAAGUAGGUCCCAAGGGUAUGGCUGUUCGCCAUUUAAAGUGGUACGCGAGCUGGGUUUAGAACGUCGUGAGACAGUUCGGUCCCUAUCUGCCGUGGGCGCUGGAGAACUGAGGGGGGCUGCUCCUAGUACGAGAGGACCGGAGUGGACGCAUCACUGGUGUUCGGGUUGUCAUGCCAAUGGCACUGCCCGGUAGCUAAAUGCGGAAGAGAUAAGUGCUGAAAGCAUCUAAGCACGAAACUUGCCCCG
RNAcentral lists this ribosomal RNA (1289 nucleotides) under Escherichia coli. Its description in RNAcentral is "partial 23S ribosomal RNA". It matches the Rfam family "Bacterial large subunit ribosomal RNA", at positions 1533 to 2801 of the family's 2925-position model. Lineage: Bacteria; Pseudomonadati; Pseudomonadota; Gammaproteobacteria; Enterobacterales; Enterobacteriaceae. The record is from RNAcentral.